Molecule: ribosomal RNA, 1987 nt
Filed under: human gut metagenome
Description: bacterial LSU rRNA
Rfam family: Bacterial large subunit ribosomal RNA
Source: RNAcentral
UCAAGCUACUAAGGGCAUACGGUGGAUGCCUAGGCGCCAAGAGCCGAAGAAGGACGCGGUAAGCUGCGAAAAGCCACGGGGAACUGCAAGCAAGUAUUGAUCCGUGGAUAUCCGAAUGGGGAAACCCGGCCAUCGUCAUGGAUGGUCACCCGCAAGGGAGGGAACCUGGGGAACUGAAACAUCUAAGUACCCGGAGGAAGAGAAAUCAAACGAGAUGCCCACAGUAGCGGCGAGCGAAGAGGGCAGAGCCCAAACCGAGAAGCUCCGGCUUUUCGGGGUUGAGGACCGGCAGAAUCGAAGUCAGGCCUAGUUGAAUUACCUGGAAAGGUAAGCGAGAGAGGGUAAAAGCCCCGUAGACGAAAGGCAGAGCAGAGAGGCCGAGAUCCAGAGUACCACGAAGCACGAGGAAUUUUGUGGGAAGCAGGGGGGACCACCCUCCAAGGCUAAAAACUACUUGGCGACCGAUAGCGCAUAGUACCGUGAGGGAAAGGUGAAAAGAACCCCGGGAGGGGAGUGAAAUAGUACCUGAAACCGUAUGUCUACAAGCAGUCGAAGCGAAAGCGACGGCGUGCCUAUUGAAGAAUGAACCAACGAGUUAUCUGCACUAGCGAGGUUAAGUGGAAGACACGGAGCCGUAGCGAAAGCGAGUCUUAAGAGGGCGCUAGUUAGUGUAGGUAGACCCGAAACCGCAGUGAUCUACCCAUGUCCAGGUUGAAGCGCAGGUAAAAUUGCGUGGAGGACCGAACCGGUGAGCGUUGAAAAGCUUUCGGAUGAGAUGUGGGUAGGGGUGAAAUUCCAAUCGAACGCGGAGAUAGCUGGUUCUCCCCGAAAUAGCUUUAGGGCUAGCCUGAGGUAGUAAGUAUAGGCGGUAGAGCACUGAUCGGGCUAGGGGCCGUAAAGGUUACCGAACCCUGUCAAACUCCGAAUGGAUAUACUGUAGAGCCUUGGAGUCAGACUACGAGUGAUAAGAUCCGUGGUCAAAAGGGAAACAGCCCAGACCACCAGCUAAGGUCCCCAAUGUCGUACUAAGUGGAAAAGGAUGUGGGGUUUCAUAAACAACCAGGAUGUUGGCUCAGAAGCAGCCACCAUUUAAAGAGUGCGUAAUAGCUCACUGGUCGAGAGACCCUGCGCCGAAGAUUCCCGGGGCUAAAGUACGAAACCGAAGCUGUGGCUGUAUACGUAAAGUAUACGGGGUAGGGGAGCGUUCCCAUAGGGUAGAAGUCGAACUGGAAGGUUCGGUGGACUUGUGGGAAGUGAGAAUGUUGGUAUGAGUAGCGAAAAGAAAGGUGAGAAUCCUUUCCACCGAAAGCAUAAGGAUUCCUGAGCAACGAUCGUCGUCUCAGGGUAAGUCGGGACCUAAUCCGAGGCAGAGAGCGUAGGAGAUGGACAACUGGUUGAUAUUCCAGUACCGGUAGUAAUUGUUUGAGCAAUGGAGUGACACAGAAGGGCAGGCAAGCAUGCGAAUGGAAGAGCAUGUGUAAGCGUGUAGGGUGGUGCAUAGGCAAAUCCGUGCACUGAAAGCCUGAGGCGUGAUGCGGAGUGAGCAGAGAUGCGAGCGAAGUUGUUGACCCCACACUGUCGAGAAAAGCUUCUAGUGAGAGAGCUACCGCCCGUACCGUAAACCGACACAGGUAUGCGGGGAGAGAAUCCUAAGGUGCGCGGGAGAACCCUCGUUAAGGAACUCGGCAAAAUGUACCCGUAACUUCGGGAUAAGGGUAGCCACUGUUGUGAAGUCCCAUGCGGAUGGAGCAUAGAGUGGUCGCAGAGAAGAGGCCCAAGCGACUGUUUACCAUAAACACAGGUGCCUGCUAAAGCGAAAGCUGACGUAUAGGUGCUGACACCUGCCCAGUGCCGGAAGGUUAAGGAAGGAUGUUCGGAGUAAUCCAAAGCAUUCGACUGAAGCCCCGGUGAACGGCGGCCGUAACUAUAACGGUCCUAAGGUAGCGAAAUUCCUUGUCGGGUAAGUUCCGACCCGCACGAAAGGUGU